This 460-nucleotide ribosomal RNA is filed under the name uncultured bacterium. RNAcentral's name for it is "partial 16S ribosomal RNA". It matches the Rfam family "Bacterial small subunit ribosomal RNA", at positions 338 to 795 of the family's 1533-position model. The record is from RNAcentral.
CCUACGGGUGGCAGCAGUGAGGAAUAUUGGUCAAUGGACGAGAGUCUGAACCAGCCAAGUAGCGUGAAGGAUGACUGCCCUAUGGGUUGUAAACUUCUUUUAUAUGGGAAUAAAAUGUUCCACGUGUGGGAGUUUGUAUGUACCAUAUGAAUAAGGAUCGGCUAACUCCGUGCCAGCAGCCGCGGUAAUACGGAGGAUACGAGCGUUAUCCGGAUUUAUUGGGUUUAAAGGGAGCGUAGGUGGAUUGUUAAGUCAGUUGUGAAAGUUUGCGGCUCAACCGUAGAAUUGCAGUUGAAACUGGCAGUCUUGAGUACAGUAGAGGUGGGCGGAAGUCGUGGUGUAGCGGUGAAAUGCUUAGAUAUCACGAAGAACUCCGAUUGCGAAGGCAGCUCACUGGACUGCAACUGACACUGAGGCUCGAAAGUGUGGGUAUCAAACAGGAUUAGAUACCCUAGUAGUC